This 1311-nucleotide ribosomal RNA is filed under the name Enterococcus sp. RNAcentral describes it as "bacterial SSU rRNA". It matches the Rfam family "Bacterial small subunit ribosomal RNA", at positions 40 to 1333 of the family's 1533-position model. Lineage: Bacteria; Bacillati; Bacillota; Bacilli; Lactobacillales; Enterococcaceae. The record is from RNAcentral.
CGGCGUGCUAUACAUGCAAGUCGUACGCUUCUUUUUCCACCGGAGCUUGCUCCACCGGAAAAAGAAGAGUGGCGAACGGGUGAGUAACACGUGGGUAACCUGCCCAUCAGAAGGGGAUAACACUUGGAAACAGGUGCUAAUACCGUAUAACAAUCGAAACCGCAUGGUUUUGAUUUGAAAGGCGCUUUCGGGUGUCGCUGAUGGAUGGACCCGCGGUGCAUUAGCUAGUUGGUGAGGUAACGGCUCACCAAGGCCACGAUGCAUAGCCGACCUGAGAGGGUGAUCGGCCACAUUGGGACUGAGACACGGCCCAAACUCCUACGGGAGGCAGCAGUAGGGAAUCUUCGGCAAUGGACGAAAGUCUGACCGAGCAACGCCGCGUGAGUGAAGAAGGUUUUCGGAUCGUAAAACUCUGUUGUUAGAGAAGAACAAGGAUGAGAGUAACUGUUCAUCCCUUGACGGUAUCUAACCAGAAAGCCACGGCUAACUACGUGCCAGCAGCCGCGGUAAUACGUAGGUGGCAAGCGUUGUCCGGAUUUAUUGGGCGUAAAGCGAGCGCAGGCGGUUUCUUAAGUCUGAUGUGAAAGCCCCCGGCUCAACCGGGGAGGGUCAUUGGAAACUGGGAGACUUGAGUGCAGAAGAGGAGAGUGGAAUUCCAUGUGUAGCGGUGAAAUGCGUAGAUAUAUGGAGGAACACCAGUGGCGAAGGCGGCUCUCUGGUCUGUAACUGACGCUGAGGCUCGAAAGCGUGGGGAGCAAACAGGAUUAGAUACCCUGGUAGUCCACGCCGUAAACGAUGAGUGCUAAGUGUUGGAAGGUUUCCGCCCUUCAGUGCUGCAGCUAACGCAUUAAGCACUCCGCCUGGGGAGUACAACCGCAAGGUUGAAACUCAAAGGAAUUGACGGGGGCCCGCACAAGCGGUGGAACAUGUGGUUUAAUUCCAAGCAACGCGGAAAAACCUUACCAGGUCUUGACAUCCUUUGACCCUCUAAAAAUAAAGCUUCCCCUUCGGGGGCAAAGUGACAGGUGGUGCAUGGUUGUCGUCAGCUCCGGUCAUGAAAAGUUGGGUUAAGUCCCCCAACGAGGCCAACCCUUAUUGUUAUUUGCCAUCAUUAAUUGGGCCCUCUAACAAAACUGCCGGUGAAAAACCGGAGGAAAGUGGGGAUGACCUCCAAUCACCUUGCCCCUUAGAACUGGGCUAACACGUGCUUCAAUGGGAAAUUCACCGAGUCGGAAAUUCCGAGGUUAGCUUAUUCCUUAAGGUUCCCUCAUUUCGGAUUGGAAGUGGAACUCCCCUCUUGAAAGCGGAAUC